UUAGCUGUGAUGAAAUC
This 17-nucleotide small RNA is filed under the name Arabidopsis thaliana (thale cress). Its description in RNAcentral is "ATSL140270". Lineage: Eukaryota; Viridiplantae; Streptophyta; Magnoliopsida; Brassicales; Brassicaceae. The record is from RNAcentral.